RNAcentral lists this ribosomal RNA (484 nucleotides) under uncultured bacterium. Its description in RNAcentral is "partial 16S ribosomal RNA". It matches the Rfam family "Bacterial small subunit ribosomal RNA", at positions 30 to 507 of the family's 1533-position model. The record is from RNAcentral.
AUUGAACGCUGGCGGCAGGCCUAACACAUGCAAGUCGAGCGGAUGAAGGGAGCUUGCUCCUGGAUUCAGCGGCGGACGGGUGAGUAAUGCCUAGGAAUCUGCCUGGUAGUGGGGGAUAACGUCCGGAAACGGGCGCUAAUACCGCAUACGUCCUGAGGGAGAAAGUGGGGGAUCGUCGGACCUCACGCUAUCAGAUGAGCCUAGGUCGGAUUAGCUAGUUGGUGGGGUAAAGGCCUACCAAGGCGACGAUCCGUAACUGGUCUGAGAGGAUGAUCAGUCACACUGGAACUGAGACACGGUCCAGACUCCUACGGGAGGCAGCAGUGGGGAAUUUUGGACAAUGGGCGAAAGCCUGAUCCAGCCAUGCCGCGUGUGUGAAGAAGGUCUUCGGAUUGUAAAGCACUUUAAGUUGGGAGGAAGGGCAGUAAGUUAAUACCUUGCUGUUUUGACGUUACCAACAGAAUAAGCACCGGCUAACUUCGUG